GACCUAGUGGCGGAGUGGUUACGCGUCUUCUUUGCACGGAGGGUCACGUCGGUUCGAUUCCGACCUAGGUCU
RNAcentral lists this transfer RNA (72 nucleotides) under Roseovarius sp. Its description in RNAcentral is "tRNA-Ala". It matches the Rfam family "tRNA". Rfam says of the family: Transfer RNA (tRNA) molecules are approximately 80 nucleotides in length. Their secondary structure includes four short double-helical elements and three loops (D, anti-codon, and T loops). RNAcentral also lists the same sequence under 1 other name. The record is from RNAcentral. Lineage: Bacteria; Pseudomonadati; Pseudomonadota; Alphaproteobacteria; Rhodobacterales; Roseobacteraceae.